GAGUAGCUGGGACUACAGGCGCCCGCCAUCACGCCCGGCUGCUUUUUUUGUUUUAGUAGAGAGGAGGUUUCACCGUGUUAGCCAGGAUGGUCUCAAUCUCCUGACCUCGUGAUCCGCCCGCCUCGGCCUCUCAAAGUGCUGGGAUUACACGCGUGAGCCACCGCGCCUGGCCUGAAGAAAGAAGUCAUUAAAGAAGCAACCCAUGGCAAAACUAGUUAUUUUCUUAAAACAGUAGGAAGAAGAAAAGCUUUUUGAAUGAAUCACUUCUCAUCUUCUCCGAAGUUGGAAGCAUCAAGAAUCUAAAUAAGCAUUUAUGAUGGCUGGCAUGAAUAUUUCUCUCCUUCAUCGUGCCUAUUUUAUGAACUUGAACAAGGAAGUUGCCACAACAUCUGUGGGCCAGAGAACUAUGCCAGAAUGUUAUUUCCAGAUUGCUUCCUGUAUUUACAAAGGCGGAAGAUAGAAUGGGAGUCCUAGUUGACCUUCAUAUAAUUUUUAGAAGAUGGAGCACUUCAACUUCUUCCACUCAUGAAAAGAGAGGUGACAGGUGAAGACAGAACAAGAAAACAAACCAAGAAUUUCCCCUCACCAGCCACCAGCUCUGCCAGCAACUUGAUCUUAGACUUCCCAGCCUCCGUAACGUCUUCCUCCUAAAAACCUGUAACCUCAAUCUAAUCAUGAGAAAAGACAUCAGGCAAAUCCCAACUGAGGGAGAUUUUACAUAGUACCUGAGCAGUACUCCUCAAAACUGUCAAGGUCAUCAAAAACAAAGAAGUAUGAAAAACUGUCACAGCCAAGAGGAACUUAAGGAAACAUAAUAAUUAAAGCCUCUGCUUAUAAUCUGUCAUGGAUUGGAAAACUAGAAAAAACAGUUUACAGAGUAUAACAAACUUUGGAGGAGUUAAUCGACUCUAAGUAAAAGAGUAUCUAGCACGGCUGUGGAACAAAGGAGAGACUCACAAACUGUUGAAAGAAUAAAUGAAUGAAUGAAUUCUGUUCAUGAGCUUUAAUAAAACAGCUCUGAGUAGUAACAGUGGAUCAAAUUUAGGCUUCUUGAUGCAGGCAUGGUGUAGAUUACUACUUCUGUAUUGUCCCAGGAGCUCAGCACAUUCCUGCAGAGAUGAUAGGAGCUCAUCUGAUACUUGUCAGCUUUGAAUAAACUCCAGUCCCCAAGAGAGAGAAUGAGAAUCACCGGAAUACGAAACUUCCCUGUUGGACUUCCCAACAUUCUUGAAUGCACCAAGAUAGCCUCUUGCUGUGAGAUUAAUAAAUGAAUAAAUGCCUCCAUAUUUUUCAAA
Homo sapiens (human) is the source of this 1295-nucleotide long non-coding RNA. The record is from Ensembl. NCBI's taxonomy places the organism in Eukaryota, Metazoa, Chordata, Mammalia, Primates, Hominidae.